Molecule: ribosomal RNA, 1372 nt
Filed under: uncultured bacterium
Lineage: Bacteria
Description: bacterial SSU rRNA
Rfam family: Bacterial small subunit ribosomal RNA
Source: RNAcentral
GAUGAACGCUGGCGGCGUGCCUAAUACAUGCAAGUCGAGCGAACGGACGAGAAGCUUGCUUCUCUGAUGUUAGCGGCGGACGGGUGAGUAACACGUGGAUAACCUACCUAUAAGACUGGGAUAACUUCGGGAAACCGGAGCUAAUACCGGAUAAUAUUUUGAACCGCAUGGUUCAAAAGUGAAAGACGGUCUUGCUGUCACUUAUAGAUGGAUCCGCGCUGCAUUAGCUAGUUGGUAAGGUAACGGCUUACCAAGGCAACGAUGCAUAGCCGACCUGAGAGGGUGAUCGGCCACACUGGAACUGAGACACGGUCCAGACUCCUACGGGAGGCAGCAGUAGGGAAUCUUCCGCAAUGGGCGAAAGCCUGACGGAGCAACGCCGCGUGAGUGAUGAAGGUCUUCGGAUCGUAAAACUCUGUUAUUAGGGAAGAACAUAUGUGUAAGUAACUGUGCACAUCUUGACGGUACCUAAUCAGAAAGCCACGGCUAACUACGUGCCAGCAGCCGCGGUAAUACGUAGGUGGCAAGCGUUAUCCGGAAUUAUUGGGCGUAAAGCGCGCGUAGGCGGUUUUUUAAGUCUGAUGUGAAAGCCCACGGCUCAACCGUGGAGGGUCAUUGGAAACUGGAAAACUUGAAUGCAGAAGAGGAAAGUGGAAUUCCAUGUGUAGCGGUGAAAUGCGCAGAGAUAUGGAGGAACACCAGUGGCGAAGGCGACUUUCUGGUCUGUAACUGACGCUGAUGUGCGAAAGCGUGGGGAUCAAACAGGAUUAGAUACCCUGGUAGUCCACGCCGUAAACGAUGAGUGCUAAGUGUUAGGGGGUUUCCGCCCCUUAGUGCUGCAGCUAACGCAUUAAGCACUCCGCCUGGGGAGUACGACCGCAAGGUUGAAACUCAAAGGAAUUGACGGGGACCCGCACAAGCGGUGGAGCAUGUGGUUUAAUUCGAAGCAACGCGAAGAACCUUACCAAAUCUUGACAUCCUUUGACAACUCUAGAGAUAGAGCCUUCCCCUUCGGGGGACAAAGUGACAGGUGGUGCGUGGUUGUCGUCAGCUCGUGUCGUGAGAUGUUGGGUUAAGUCCCGCAACGAGCGCAACCCUUAAGCUUAGUUGCCAUCAUUAAGUUGGGCACUCUAAGUUGACUGCCGGUGACAAACCGGAGGAAGGUGGGGAUGACGUCAAAUCAUCAUGCCCCUUAUGAUUUGGGCUACACACGUGCUACAAUGGACAAUACAAAGGGCAGCGAAACCGCGAGGUCAAGCAAAUCCCAUAAAGUUGUUCUCAGUUCGGAUUGUAGUCUGCAACUCGACUACAUGAAGCUGGAAUCGCUAGUAAUCGUAGAUCAGCAUGCUACGGUGAAUACGUUCCCGGGUCU